This is a non-coding RNA of Parelaphostrongylus tenuis, 73 nucleotides long. The record is from the annotation of a GenBank genome assembly. Lineage: Eukaryota; Metazoa; Nematoda; Chromadorea; Rhabditida; Metastrongylidae.
GCGUCGGUGGUGCAACGGUUUAGCACAUACCACCGGAAAGAGUAAGGUCUAGGUUUGAAUCCCGGCCAUCGCA